ACACGGCGGUUCGCGGAAUCGUACUUCCUCUCUUCACCCAGCUGCAACUGUGUGCGUGUUAAUUCGCUGUAUGUGUGUGCGUGCCUACACUGCAAUUCGUGACGGAUUUUUGUGGAUUUCAAAAAGAAAAAUAGUUUGCAUUUGACAGGUGCAAUCUGUGUCCCCUCAAAAAAAAAAAAAAACAGAAAGUGUGUGGGUGCAUCGUCAUUUUGCAGCACAACUGGUAAGCGAGAAAAUUGAUUAAAAUUCAGAUUACAAAGGGGGGAAAUAUAUUUAAAAAAUAUAUGUAGCUUAAAUCUUAAGUAUUUGCGUGAGUUUGUGUGUGAAAGAGAGAGAGCGAGAGAGUGCAGCCAGAAAUUGCAAUACACACAAACAAAAAGCGGCCGGCUUGCUCUCCUCUUCCUCUUUCUCUCUUCCUCUUCUUCUCCUCUUCCGCCCCUCACCCCUUCGUCAUUCCACUUUUGGAUGCACUUGGUGCGAUUCAUUUGCCUUUAUUACCAUUUUUGCCCGUCUCUGCACUGUUUUUUUCCUCAUUUUGUGGGGGCUUUUGGCACGGUGGCAACCCUGGCAGCCAAAUGCGUUGGUGAAUAAGUUCUCUACCCUUUUGUCAGUGUGGGACGCGACUUUGAAAUGCUUGCAGCUAGCGAAUCCUUUUAGGACUUAAAACUUCAUAAACAGAAAGGCAACAACAAAAAAAUCUACAAAUGGCAGCACUUUUCCUACUUCCUUCUUUCAUACCAUUUGAACUCCUUCCUUUCGAUGGGCAAGGGAGAGAAAGGGAUGGGUAGAGUGGUGCCAAAGGACAAUGGUUCAAGUGCAAAGAGGAUGCCAAGCCACAUGCAACAAUGCCAACAACAAGGACCGAGCGAACGCCGAAGGACAUGCCAUGCAAUUUCCUUCUCUAUGAUGAAUAUGUAAUGCAAUUUUUCCAUCGCUGGCUUUCCUUUGUUGCAAAAUUGCAGCGAACUGGGCGAUCGGCUUACGUGGCCAGAGAGACAAAUCUAUCGGGGAUUAGGACAAGUCAAGUGGAAUUGUUUCUUACACAAAGCUCUCCUUGCAGUUUAUCGCAGGUGAAUGUGGACACAAUGGGAAACAAGCAAUAAACAAUCAAUUCUAUGAAAAAUGUAAUAUUAGAUAUACUGCACAAAAACAAAUCUAUUCAGGUUAAGUAGAAUUUAUUUCAUAUUGCUUUCCUCUUUCUCUUGCAGAUUAUCGAACACUAAAGUGGCCACAAAGUGGAAAUAACCAUAAACGUAAAUAUAUGAUUGCAACUAAUUAGCCACUAUUUGACCUCAAAGAAGAAUGAAAAAGAAUCAUGAGUCAGAAGAAUAAGGAACUCACUUCUAUUGUCCUGCCGGAAUUUCACAACUUUACCAAAUGGAUUAUCACGUUUCCCUACCCAAAAGGGGUUGGUUUUUGAUGCUCCGGGACGAAUUCAAUUUCAAGUACCAACUAAACGAUUUCUAAUCCAACACGAAAUGGUGCAUACUUACAUAUGGACCAUUAACAGAAACCCGUAAAUCCGAACUUGUGCUGUUUUAUAUCUGUUACAAGACCGGCAUUAUGGGAGUCUGUCAAUGCAAACAACUGGUUUUUGGCAACAAAAUCGAAUGACAAAUCUAAAACAUGUAAUGAUGCCGGAGUAUGCAUAAAACGUCGAAUAAAAAGCGAUAAUAAACAUGAAAAAGUUAUAAUAUUAAUUCAAAUAAUAAUUAUAAACAUAAAUAAAAUACAACAAAUGAAGCUUACCAGACAAUUCUCGAAAAAAAUUAAUUUAAAAUAAAAAAUAACCUGUGGCUAAAAAAAUUAAGCCAAAAGAUAACAAUUUAAAUUUGAUUAAGCAUUCAUUUUCGCUAACACAUGCAUCCAAAUAAAAUGCGUUAUAAAAUUAUGGUUCAAAGAAAAUGAACUUAAAAAAAAAAAAGAUUUAAUAAACUCAAAGAUUAUAUGAAUAUCUGAUAACACAAUAAAUAAAUAAAUCAAGAAAGAAUGAUUGCUAUUAAAAAUGUUUUAUUUGUGAAACAUAUUUAUCAUGUUUUAUUUAUAAACGUAUGUAUAUUCAUUUAAUAAUAGCAAAAAUAUUACCGUAUUCCCAUAUGAUUUCUCCCCGUUAUUAUUCUUCUUGUUUGCCAACAUCUCUUAAACCAAAAACCGAACCAAUAAAUUCACCCAGAAAAU
Drosophila rhopaloa is the source of this 2178-nucleotide long non-coding RNA. RefSeq lists it as uncharacterized. NCBI's taxonomy places the organism in Eukaryota, Metazoa, Arthropoda, Insecta, Diptera, Drosophilidae. The record is from RefSeq and is a predicted model, not a curated record. The transcript is spliced from 5 exons.